AUACGUAGGGGGCGAGCGUUGUCCGGAAUGAUUGGGCGUAAAGGGCGCGCAGGCGGCUUUGCAAGUCAGUAGUGGAAGUCCAUUUUUCAAGGAUGGAAGUGCUACAGAAACUGCGGAGCUUGAGUGCAGGAGAGGUUAUCGGAAUUCCCGGUGUAGCGGUGAAAUGUGUAGAGAUCGGGAGGAACACCAGUGGCGAAGGCGGGUAACUGGACUGCAACUGACGCUGAGGCGCGAAAGUGUGGGGAGCAAACAGGAUUAGAUACCCUGGUAGUCCACACUGUAAACGAUGAAUGCUAGGUGUAGGAGGUAUCGACCCCUUCUGUGCCGCAGUAAACACAGUAAGCAUUCCGCCUGGGGAGUACGGUCGCAAGAUUAAAACUCAAAGGAAUUGACGGGG
RNAcentral lists this ribosomal RNA (397 nucleotides) under uncultured bacterium. Its description in RNAcentral is "partial 16S ribosomal RNA". It matches the Rfam family "Bacterial small subunit ribosomal RNA", at positions 523 to 918 of the family's 1533-position model. The record is from RNAcentral.